RNAcentral lists this ribosomal RNA (650 nucleotides) under uncultured bacterium. Its description in RNAcentral is "bacterial SSU rRNA". It matches the Rfam family "Bacterial small subunit ribosomal RNA", at positions 8 to 655 of the family's 1533-position model. The record is from RNAcentral.
AGAGUUUGAUCAUGGCUCAGAUUGAACGCUGGCGGCAGGCCUAACACAUGCAAGUCGAACGGUAACAUUUCUAGCUUGCUAGAAGAUGACGAGUGGCGGACGGGUGAGUAAUGCUUGGGAACUUGCCUUUGCGAGGGGGAUAACAGUUGGAAACGACUGCUAAUACCGCAUAAUGUCUUCGGACCAAACGGGGCUUAGGCUCCGGCGCAAAGAGAGGCCCAAGUGAGAUUAACUAGUUGGUAGGGUAACGGCUUACCAAGGCGACGAUCUCUAGCUGUUCUGAGAGGAAGAUCAGCCACACUGGGACUGAGACACGGCCCAGACUCCUACGGGAGGCAGCAGUGGGGAAUAUUGCACAAUGGGGGAAACCCUGAUGCAGCCAUGCCGCGUGUGUGAAGAAGGCCUUCGGGUUGUAAAGCACUUUCAGUUGUGAGGAAAAGUUAGUAGUUAAUACCUGCUAGCCGUGACGUUAACAACAGAAGAAGCACCGGCUAACUCCGUGCCAGCAGCCGCGGUAAUACGGAGGGUGCGAGCGUUAAUCGGAAUUACUGGGCGUAAAGCGCACGCAGGCGGUUUGUUAAGCUAGAUGUGAAAGCCCCGGGCUCAACCUGGGAUGGUCAUUUAGAACUGGCAGACUAGAGUCUUGGAGA